This 265-nucleotide ribosomal RNA is filed under the name uncultured bacterium. RNAcentral's name for it is "partial 16S ribosomal RNA". It matches the Rfam family "Bacterial small subunit ribosomal RNA", at positions 91 to 353 of the family's 1533-position model. The record is from RNAcentral.
CGGACCGGCGCACGGGUGAGUAACGCGUAUGCAACUUACCUAUCAGAGGGGGAGUAACCCGGCGAAAGUCGGACUAAUACCGCAUGAAGCAGGGCCCCGCAUGGGGAUAUUUGCUAAAGAUUCAUCGCUGAUAGAUAGGCAUGCGUUCCAUUAGGCAGUUGGCGGGGUAACGGCCCACCAAACCGACGAUGGAUAGGGGUUCUGAGAGGAAGGUCCCCCACAUUGGUACUGAGACNCGGACCAAACUCCUACGGGAGGCAGCAUG